Molecule: long non-coding RNA, 6080 nt
Filed under: Lactuca sativa (garden lettuce)
Lineage: Eukaryota; Viridiplantae; Streptophyta; Magnoliopsida; Asterales; Asteraceae
Description: long non-coding RNA (LSAT_LNC001086)
Source: RNAcentral
AUCAAGAAUCACUUAAUUCCUUGAGUCUCAAGCUCAUUUGCUCCAGAAGAGCUUAUAAAACCAAAACCAUCCUAAAGUUUGAUGCUUUUUAGACUUGCAUGUCCAAUGCAAGUUGCAACCUUUAUGAAGUCUCUCUAUCCCAUUGAUGUGCACAAAAGUACCCACUAAUUUUAAUAUUUAUAACCUAACAAACUUAGACUAUCUAUGCACUUAUAGGCAGUGUACCUAGUCAGAUUACAGUAUACCUUAGGUAAGUCGGGUGUCGAUCACAGGGAACGGUGGAUUAAUUUAAUAUAUUUGAUUAUAGGUUACAGGUCACACGAAAAUAAUAAAGAAAAUGGUUUAAUAAAUCUCAAACUAGAAAUUAACAACUCUCGAUAAACUAACAAGAAAACAAAUCUCUUCAGGUACUUUGGUUUAGAUAAAUUACGCCUUAAAAACAUAGACAAUUGCAUACACAAAUUCAUUUAUUCAUGUUCACCGAUUCCUAAAAUGAUUAGAUUCGCAUUCGUUAUAACUAAUCCUUUAGCAAACAAGUCAAUUCAAACAGUGAUCAGUUGAUUAAACUAACAUGCUUCCUAGUGUUCAGUUCGUAUNAAUUACUAAUUCAAUUUAACCACUUGUUGAUGGUCAUCAAACAAGGCUCACACAUUAACUUACUUAUUCCCAAGUUAAUCCUAGUUUCACAUUCGUUAUUCCUAGACUUAUAAUCUCGAUGGUCAUCAAAAUCAUAAGAGAUAAGCAAUCAAGCAGAUGUUCAUACAACUCAAUUCACUUAACAAUUAACAGCAAAUAAUCAUCAUUAAUACGUAAGGAUCUUUUAACAAGCUUGGCAAGAUAAAUUAAACAUAAACAAACAAUUCAAUAUAGCAAUUAGUCUAAUAAUCAAAGCUUCAUUCAAUCAUAAACACAAAGUAAAAGGUUUUUACACCCAAAUCAGAAACUAAAUACAGAAUAGUAACACAAUGGAAUGCUAAACAUGGUCACGUUAGCAACCCAUAUGAUUACCGACACGUAUCCGCUCUCCAACCCUUCCGAUCUCCGCUCCCGUUAGCUUAACGGCCUUCCGGCCGCCUUCUAGACCCUCAAAACGGCUUAACAGAAGUUUAAUAUCGACUAAAUUAAGUUGGAAGUCGAAUCCCCCCUUCUGGUUAGCUGAAAAUCGACUUUUAUAACCUUUGUAGCCGACUUACGUACGCUGGGCGUAAGUCGGAUUACGCUGGGCGUACUAAGGAUUUCUACGCGAUUGAGUUUAUCCGGUGCCAGCCAUUACGCGGGGCGUACCCUUAAGUUACGCUGGGCGUAAUUCAAUUUGGUCGCUACGCUUAGCGUAGAAGUGUAUUACGCGGGGCGUAAUUGUUCCUCCAGCAUUUUUAAUUACUUUUAGCUUCUAAGCCCGGUUUCCGCUUCAGUCUUUUCUUUUGUGCUUUAUCGUCAACGAAUAGCUGCAAAUCAUAAUUCAAAGCAUUAUGAGUACUUUUUAGUUCUAAAAGAGAAUAAUAAAGGCCAAAAUAUUAAGAUAUAAUGCAUAAAAAUAUAUAUAAAAAUACACAUAUCAAAAUACCCCACACUUAGCCUUUGCUUGCCCCCAAGCAAAUUUACUUUUAUUUUACCAAUAUCGCACUAAACAAUCCAUUUAAAACUCAGCCAUUAUGUCAAGACCUCAACGCAUACAUUUGUGUCUAAUAUUUUCCUAAAGUACCCCCCAUAUUUUAAAUACUCACAAUCUUCAUAAACACUCGCCCACUUUUUCCGAACAAUGCUCAUUUUAUGCAACCCUCCGAAUCCAUCCGCAGAAAACCUCCUAACCUCAAGGUAUUUUUAGUUGAGCAACCUAAGCAUACAUAAUCUAGAAUUACAACUUUUCGAUACCACUAUGGAGCUCUUUUGGAAUUCUUCAAUUCUUUGACAUUUGAUCUUUGAUUUCUUUGAAUUCACCACCUUUGUUGAUUUGAUUUCUGGUAUCUUCAACUUUUUGAAUUUCUUCAGAAUUUUGAUCUUUUGAUCUUCACUUUAUUUGCUCCAAAAUUCUUCAAACUUUUUUCGUAAUUCUCUCUUUUUUUUUUUUCAUGUAACUCACUUUUUUUUUCACUCAAAACCCUACAUGCUUAAGCAGAGGCGCUCAACCUCAACCUUUAUUGGUUAAUGAUAAUAAUUUUCCUAGAUACAUUUCAGGUUUAGGCUACUAAACAUAUUGCAUCCCUCAAACCAAGCGGGGUUAUGUUUUUGUUCCAUGAUUUCACUAAAAUAAGGGAGACCACAAAUGCACUAUAACGUAUAUUGGCUCAACUAAACAUUUGAGUUCUCAUCGGAUCAUUUCAUACAAUAUUAGCAAAAUUUAAAUUAUGACUAGAUUUUUCUAAAUUAAACUAUUAUUUCAAGUUUCUAAAAUUUUUAAAUUUCCUAAAUCUAGCAAUUUCAUUUUUUCUUUUAAUUUUAAUUUACUUUUACCGACCUCCUACCCCACACUUAUUUCAUACAAUGCCCUCAUUGUAUGCUAAAAUGAAUUAAGAACAUAAAAAGGGAGAAAAAGGAACAGACUCCCCUGGGUAGUUGUGGCGAGAUCGACUGGGGCUGCUACAAGUUGCUCCAAAUAUCGUUGAAAGACUGAAAACUGGAACUGCUGCUUCUGAAUUUGCCGAAAAAUAAAAUCAAGACGGUCGACUUAAAAAAUGUGGUGCAAAAGAUUGCAAAAAAAUGCAAUGUGUAGUAACCAUGACGUGGGAAAGUGUCGACCACAUCGUCUCGUCAAGAAUGACAUCCUCUUCUCUCGCGAUGAAAAACCCCCCACAACAUAGGAAAGUGUCAACCAUGUCGUGGCAGCCGGGAUGAUACUUCUUCCUCGCGUCAAAAUGAAACUCGAUGGUGUGGGAACAACUCAUCCAAAUCAUAAGAGUCAAAAUAUCGUAAAAAAAUGUCAAUCUUCUAAACAAUCGCUCACGAAAUCAAUAUGCACCCCACACUCAUGACAAAUUGUGGGUCUUGACUAUAAUCCUCGAACUCUCACACGACUCUCUCUAGCAACAGUCGGACCUAGCUGCUGAACUUACUGCCAGCUUUCUAAGGGCGAAAAUUCCGCAGAAAUCUAAACAACAAAAAGCAUCAACAUGGAAAACAAAAGUAAAACAAACUAAAUUAAAGUUUAACUACAUACCAAAUAAGAAUACUAAACUAAACUAAAAAUAACACAAAAACACAAAAAUAAAAAUAGAAAGGAUCACUCAUCAUCUCCAUCAUCAUGCUGCUGAGUCCCUGAAGUACCGACCCCAUCAUGUCGUGGCUGGAAUGGUGGUGGGUAGGGAACCGAAUACUGAAACCCAUGGUGGGCAAAGAAUGUGGUCAACGCAUCCCCAUACCACUGCUGUUGCCUAUCCACAUGUGCAACAUACUCACUAAGACGGUCAAUGCCCUGAGCUAGGUAGCACAUAUCACUCUCCGGCUUAGGUCCCUGCUGCGCUCCCCGAGGAGCAGGUCUACGCCGCUGGACCCGUCUCGGUUGUGGCUCGGCGGCACCCUCCUCGUCCGCCACAUCAUAUGCUCGUACUCGCAAGACACCAUCUCCGCCUCGCUCCAAUACACGCAUCGACUCCAACAGCUGAAUGCUCAUCGGCCUCAUAUCGUGGAACACCAUCGAUCUCGUGAUCUCACGCGUCAGCAACUGAUAUGAUCGGGCUAACCGCGUGAUAAAAUGCCCUCCGCAUAUCGGGCUAUCCUCCCGAAGUCCCCUGGCCCUCCGUCCCAAAUAUGCAGCUAAAGCAACUGGAAGGUUCAGGUGCCUCCCUAGAGUAACAAGUGCCCAUAGGAAAUACAAGUCUGUCGAAGGAACUCUCUCACUGUUCUUGUGAUGCGUGAGAGUCAUGGAAAUCAAUCGGUGCAACAAUCUGUAUGUAGUAGACCGUAUCAUCCUACCCCGUGCAGUAGAUGGCGUAUAAACUCCUCCCGUAAUCUCGGCCCAAAAAGUGUUCUCGUUAUACUCGUCUGGCCGCUCCGUAAGACAAUCAGCAAGGAAUGCCAGGAAAUGGACACUCCUCAUCUCAUCUGCUGUGUAAAUACCCACUCGAGUCACAAGCUCUAUGACACUGCAUUCCCGGCUCACUCCCCCCAGUCUGAAGGCAAAAGCUGUCCUGUCAUCGGGUGCCUUCCUAGAAUCAUAGGAAACUGUAGCGUAGAACUCCAACAAAAAUUCCCGAUAAACAGGCUCCUGGAUCCUGAACAAUCGUGCCCAUCCCUGACACACGAACAAAUCCACACCACUCGCGUCCGAGUGCGUGUAUUGCAAAAAUUCCUGGAUCAGUGCAGCUAGUCCAGUCCGGGUCGCCAAGUCCCAAUCAAAUGAGGGAGCUAUGUCGAUCUCCUUGGUGAGCAACAAACUCAAACUGUUGACAUAUCGUGCCCGGGUUGCAUCGUUCAGCGUUUGCGGAAAUUGUAAGAAACGAUGUUCGGUCACAUCCUCGGGUGGGUUAGUCCGUUGAGUUCUUCGGGCCAUAAUCUGCACAAAUAAACACAAAACCAAAACCAAACAAAAUAUAGCAGCAUUAAGAAAUUUUUAAACCAAAAAAAAAAAAAAUUGGAGCUGGACAUGGACAGUACGCUGGGCGUACGUCCAGGUUCACGAGUCUGUGGUUCCCUUGCUUGUUCCCAAAUCAAAAUUUUUUAAAUUAAUCAAAUCUACAAGCAAUAAACCCUGCAGGGGCAAACAGAUGGGCAUAUCGAGCAUAAGGAUUGUGUGGUCCUACACAGUAGAAAAAAAAUGGGACCUCCCUAAAAAUAUGAAUCAAUCCCUGUAAAUUCCUUGUCUAUUAGCAAACACUUAACAGGGAAACAUGUGUAGCAGUCAAGAAUCGAAGCCAACAGGGGUUACGCUAGGCAUACGUCCCCGAGUUUAAAUCGAUGGGUGUGGGACGGGAUUAAGACCAAAUUAAGUCCUAGGGUUUAGUUAAUUGAUAGAAAUCGGUCCAUUCAAGUGGUAAUCAGAACAUAUAUUUGCGAAAUCGGCCCUAAUUCAAGAACUAUAUAAACCCUAGAUUUCGAACAAAGGCAAUUUGCAGCCAAUUUCGUCGAUUUAAACAUAAAUCCAUAAUAUUGAGUACCCGAAAAACAUACAUGUAUGUCGGAUUUUACAAGAAAAGAAGCAAAAUCGGGACUUUGUGAAGAAGUUCGUCGUCACAGCGUAUGCGAGAGUAGAAGAGGUUUGAAAGAAUAACAAAAAAGUCAAGGGUCAAAAGAUAUAACCUGGUCGUCGUCUUACGCUGGGCGUAACACGAAGUUACGUUGGGCGUAACCCCAUCUCCGUGAAAAGUGUAUCCGCGAUCCGGGGUUUAUUACGCUUGGCGUAAUCAAACUUACGCUGGGCGUAAGUUCAAAUGAAACUUUUCCUUUUUCUUUAAUUUAAAUUCCUUUUCUUUUAAUUAUUUAAUUAAGGGACUUAAAACUUAAUUAUUUUUUCUUUUUAAUUUCUUCAGCAACUGAUGACUUUCCGAUGAGUGAAAAAAAUGAGACGUCACAAUCACUUAUCUUUGUCAAGAUCAAACAACAAUGGUUGAUUAAAAACCUUUGCAUGCAAGAAUUGGUUUGCGAAAACACCCACUUUCGGGACCCGUUAGAAUAUUUCCUUUGUUUUCCUUGCACCUUUAACUAAAAGCGGAACAAGAAGUGACCUAACUAGUAAAGAACAGCAAGAGCUCGGUCUUCCACUUAACCACCACAAUACGCCUUGCUAUACUACGCCUCAUGGAUUGAGUUGGACAAAUCAACAAAGUAGUAGGCUAAGCAGGUCAAGAAUUCCCUAAUCGCUUUCAUCNAAAUCAACAAAGUAGCAGGCUAAGCAGAUCAAGAAUUCCCUAAUCGCUUUCAUCCUCGAAACCCAUGCAAAAAGUAAAGUCAAACAAUGUGUACAAUCCCAAAUUCCUGCAAAUAACAAGAACCUUCCCGACAAGUGAAAUGAUAUCAACGAAAAUCAAACUAAAAAUAAAAACUAACUACAAAAAAAUAACGAAUAAUCAAAUAAACUAAAUUAACGACAAGUUGUUCCCUGGCAACGGCGCCAAAAACUUGAUGUGCACAAAAGUACCCACUAAUUU